This 21-nucleotide microRNA is filed under the name Arachis hypogaea (peanut). RNAcentral describes it as "ahy-miR408-5p". Its record names the gene ahy-miR408-5p. Lineage: Eukaryota; Viridiplantae; Streptophyta; Magnoliopsida; Fabales; Fabaceae. The record is from miRBase by way of RNAcentral.
CUGGGAACAGGCAGAGCAUGA